AUUGAACGCUGGCGGCAUGCCUUACACAUGCAAGUCGAACGGCAGCACGGGUGCUUGCACCUGGUGGCGAGUGGCGAACGGGUGAGUAAUACAUCGGAACGUACCUUAUCGUGGGGGAUAACGCAGCGAAAGCUGUGCUAAUACCGCAUACGCCCUGAGGGGGAAAGCGGGGGAUCGCAAGACCUCGCGCGAUUAGAGCGGCCGAUGCCUGAUUAGCUUGUUGGUGGGGUAAAAGCCCACCAAGGCGACGAUCAGUAGCUGGUCUGAGAGGACGAUCAGCCACACUGGGACGGAGACACGGCCAAGACUCCUACGGGAGGCAGCAGUGGGGAAUUUUGGACAAUGGGGGCAACCCUGAUCGAGCAAUGCCGCGUGAGUGAAGAAGGCCUUCGGGUUGUAAAGCUCUUUUGUCAGGGAAGAAACACCGGCUCUAACACAGUCCGGGAAUGACGGUACCUGAAGAAUAAGCACCGGCUAACUACGUGCCAGCCGCCGCGGUAA
This 501-nucleotide ribosomal RNA is filed under the name uncultured bacterium. RNAcentral's name for it is "partial 16S ribosomal RNA". It matches the Rfam family "Bacterial small subunit ribosomal RNA", at positions 29 to 523 of the family's 1533-position model. The record is from RNAcentral.